GUUUUAAUAAUUUAACUAUAAAAUAUUGGUCUUGUAAACCAAAAAUAAGAUUUAUAUCUUUUAAAACU
This 68-nucleotide transfer RNA is filed under the name Brundinia marina. Its description in RNAcentral is "tRNA-Thr". It matches the Rfam family "tRNA". From Rfam's summary of the family: Transfer RNA (tRNA) molecules are approximately 80 nucleotides in length. Their secondary structure includes four short double-helical elements and three loops (D, anti-codon, and T loops). The record is from RNAcentral. Lineage: Eukaryota; Metazoa; Arthropoda; Insecta; Coleoptera; Staphylinidae.